RNAcentral lists this ribosomal RNA (380 nucleotides) under uncultured cyanobacterium. RNAcentral's name for it is "bacterial SSU rRNA". It matches the Rfam family "Bacterial small subunit ribosomal RNA", at positions 376 to 770 of the family's 1533-position model. The record is from RNAcentral. Lineage: Bacteria; Bacillati; Cyanobacteriota.
CGAAAGCCUGACGGAGCAAGACCGCGUGGGGGAGGAAGGCUCUAGGGUUGUAAACCCCUUUUCUCAGGGAAGAAGAAAGUGACGGUACCUGAGGAAUCAGCCUCGGCUAACUCCGUGCCAGCAGCCGCGGUAAUACGGAGGAGGCAAGCGUUAUCCGGAAUGAUUGGGCGUAAAGCGUUCGUAGGUGGCAAUUCAAGUCUGCUGUCAAAGACAGUAGCUCAACUACUGCAAGGCAGUGGAAACUGAAUAGCUAGAGUGCGGUAGGGGCAGAGGGAAUUCCCAGUGUAGCGGUGAAAUGCGUAGAUAUUGGGAAGAACACCAGUGGCGAAGGCGCUCUACUGGGUCGCAACUGACGCUGAGGGACGAAAGCUAGGGGAGCG